UGGGGAAUAUUGCACAAUGGGCGCAAGCCUGAUGCAGCAACGCCGCGUGAACGAUGAAGGUCUUCGGAUCGUAAAGUUCUGUUGCAGGGGAAGAUAAUGACGGUACCCUGUGAGGAAGCCCCGGCUAACUACGUGCCAGCAGCCGCGGUAAUACGUAGGGGGCUAGCGUUAUCCGGAUUUACUGGGCGUAAAGGGUGCGUAGGUGGUCUUUCAAGUCGGUGGUUAAAGGCUACGGCUCAACCGUAGUUAGCCUCCGAAACUGGAAGACUUAAGUGAAGGGGAGGAAAGUGGAAUUCCCAGUGUAGCGGUGAAAUGCGUAGGUAUUGGGAGGAAAAACAGUAGGGAAGGCGGCUUUCUGGACUGCAACUGACACUGAGGCACGAAAGCGUGGGUAGCAAACAGG
Molecule: ribosomal RNA, 403 nt
Filed under: Verrucomicrobiota bacterium
Lineage: Bacteria; Pseudomonadati; Verrucomicrobiota
Description: Verrucomicrobia bacterium partial 16S ribosomal RNA
Rfam family: Bacterial small subunit ribosomal RNA
Source: RNAcentral